Molecule: ribosomal RNA, 199 nt
Filed under: Thryssa kammalensis (Kammal thryssa)
Lineage: Eukaryota; Metazoa; Chordata; Actinopteri; Clupeiformes; Engraulidae
Description: partial 16S ribosomal RNA
Source: RNAcentral
GCCAGAAAGCUAGCUCUAACAUAAUAGUUAAACCCAUAAUUUCCAUCACUACUCAUAAACCAAAACACCCAACAACUAAAUCAUUCAACCACCCCAGUACGGGCGACAGAAAAGGACCCAAAGAAGCUAUAGAUAAAGUACCGCAAGGGAAAGCUGAAAAAGAAAUGAAAAAACCCAUAAAAGCAUAAAAAAGCAGAGA